Molecule: non-coding RNA, 903 nt
Organism: Pelobates cultripes (western spadefoot toad)
Lineage: Eukaryota; Metazoa; Chordata; Amphibia; Anura; Pelobatidae
Source: the annotation of a GenBank genome assembly
CUCACGGAGAAAAUAGAAUGUACCUGUUGAUUCUACUGAUUUCCAUAGUGAUUGACCCGCUUUAGUACGUUAGACUACUUUACAGAACACGUCACUUUUUAUUUAUAAUCCCAUAGAUUACAAAAGAUUUGGGAGCUGAGAGUAAAUUGGCUUUAAAUGUCUGGACAGACAGGAGAGAGAAUAUAUCUUAAGAGAGAGAAUGGGCAAAUGUUAGGUUGGAAAUUUGAUGAAGGGGCUUUAAGACAGCAAGUGUGUUUACAAAUUUCGCUCACUACUACUGCACAGCCCAGUUGGCACAUCUACAACAGUGGCAUGCGCCACCAGGCAAAAAACGAUGGGUGGACUUGGAACAUAAUAUCUUGGGAUGGGACCUCCCAUAGGCAUACAUAUCUGCCAUACUGGCACACUGCCCUCUCCUACUGCCCUCCUUUCUAGCAAUCACCCACUCCCUAGUCCUAUGGGACAAGCUUAAAAUAAAAUUCAACCUUUCCUCAUUCUUGUCCCCACUCACGCCCAUAUACCGUAACAACCUGUUGCCAUCCAUCAUGACUCCAAAACACUUUCACAGUUUUGACCACAGAGACAUUUCCAGGUUGCUACACUUGUGCGACCAUGGCAACGUAAUCCAAUACUCCGAUUUACCUAACCCAGAGACAUUACGAACUAUGACUAUUUUUGAUACAUACUAGAUCUACCCAACACACCCAUGAUCAAUAAAAUCCACAGAAAAAUGUUACUUGCAUACUAUUCCAAAUCCCUAUGCAUAUUUAAAUAAAUGGAGGUUAUUUAGUAACUCCAAUGGUCAUUAGAUGUAAGCCUACUUUCCACAUCAAGGCAAAUCUCUAAAGGUGUGUCGUACACUAACAAUUCACCUUGCUUGCUUCAACUUUAGGCAAAGAAAAG